GCAAAUCACAGUUCACACCCCAACUUUUCAGUCUUUUCCUAGCUCUUGCCCUAUCAGAGGCCAAGGACAACGGAAUAAUGAUUCAUAGGCCUUACUUCCUAGCAGAAGCAAACUCACAAGAGGCAAAAGGAUGCUCUAUGUGGUGCUGUCUAUUCCUAGCAGCAGACCCUGUCCUGGGCCAUCAGGAUUUUACUCAGGGAUGAUAGACCCACACAGAAUCUUCACCUUUUAAGGAGAAGAAUGAGAGGAGCAGCCAGAAGCUUGGCAUUAUGGGAAUCAGCCCAAUGCACUUUAGGGAAACAUGGAAAUAAAAUCAUAGCAUGCCUUUUGAAAUGAA
Molecule: long non-coding RNA, 337 nt
Organism: Marmota monax (woodchuck)
Lineage: Eukaryota; Metazoa; Chordata; Mammalia; Rodentia; Sciuridae
Exons: 2
Source: RefSeq, a predicted model, not a curated record